RNAcentral lists this ribosomal RNA (253 nucleotides) under uncultured bacterium. Its description in RNAcentral is "partial 16S ribosomal RNA". It matches the Rfam family "Bacterial small subunit ribosomal RNA", at positions 524 to 776 of the family's 1533-position model. The record is from RNAcentral.
UACGGAGGGUGCAAGCGUUAUCCGGAUUCACUGGGUUUAAAGGGUGCGUAGGUGGGCAGGUAAGUCAGUGGUGAAAUCUCCGGGCUUAACCCGGAAACUGCCAUUGAUACUAUCUGUCUUGAAUACCGUGGAGGUGAGCGGAAUAUGUCAUGUAGCGGUGAAAUGCUUAGAUAUGACAUAGAACACCAAUUGCGAAGGCAGCUCACUACGCGAAUAUUGACACUGAGGAGCGAAAGCUAGGGGAGCAAACGGG